Molecule: ribosomal RNA, 368 nt
Filed under: uncultured bacterium
Lineage: Bacteria
Description: bacterial SSU rRNA
Rfam family: Bacterial small subunit ribosomal RNA
Source: RNAcentral
GGGCCCGCACAAGCGGUGGAGUAUGUGGUUUAAUUCGAUGCAACGCGAAGAACCUUACCAGGGUUUGACAUCCUGCGAAUCUCUUGGAAACAGGAGAGUGCCUUCGGGAACGCAGUGACAGGUGGUGCAUGGCUGUCGUCAGCUCGUGUCGUGAGAUGUUGGGUUAAGUCCCGCAACGAGCGCAACCCACGUCUUUAGUUGCCAGCAUUAGUUGGGCACUCUAGAGAGACUGCCGGUGAUAAACCGGAGAAGGUGUGGAUGACGUCAAGUCAUCAUGCCCCUUACAUCUGGGCUACACACGUACUACAAUGCUACGGACAAAGGGCAGCAAGUUCGCGAGGACAAGCAAAUCCCAUAAAGUGCGUCGU